GUUUUAGGCAGCCUACUCCAUGGGGACUAGCACACUCAGAAUUCCCCCAUCCUAACUAGUGCCUGUGCUUGCCUUCCCUGGAAGGUCAUGUGCAAAUUCCAGCAAUGUGGUAUCAGAAACCAGACUACAAUUUCUUCGAAACCUAUAAGAGUUACCGAAGGCUGAACCCCAGCCAGCCAUUUUAUAUCCUCAAGCCCCAGAUGCCAUGGGAACUGUGGGACAUCAUUCAGGAAAUCUCUGCAGAUCUGAUUCAGCCAAAUCCCCCAUCCUCCGGCAUGCUGGGUAUCAUCAUCAUGAUGACGCUGUGUGACCAGGUAGAUAUUUACGAGUUCCUCCCAUCCAAGCGCAAGACGGACGUGUGCUAUUAUCACCAAAAGUUCUUUGACAGCGCUUGCACGAUGGGUGCCUACCACCCGC
This 417-nucleotide long non-coding RNA is filed under the name Rattus norvegicus (Norway rat). RNAcentral describes it as "long non-coding RNA NONRATT006677". Lineage: Eukaryota; Metazoa; Chordata; Mammalia; Rodentia; Muridae. The record is from RNAcentral.